Molecule: long non-coding RNA, 740 nt
Organism: Capsicum annuum
Lineage: Eukaryota; Viridiplantae; Streptophyta; Magnoliopsida; Solanales; Solanaceae
Exons: 2
Source: RefSeq, a predicted model, not a curated record
CCUAAAAAACCUACCCCAACCACCCCUAUAUUAUCUCAACCUCCCUAACUCCCUCCCUUAGGUUCCCUUUAUAUACUGACAGAUCACGGACAAAAAACAAAAAAAAAAAACCAGAGAGGACAACAUUUUGAGAAUAGAGAAACUUAAGAAGAAUAGAUAGGGAGAGUGAAAAAGAAAGAAACGAAGAGAAUAAAAAAAAAAAAAAAACCAAAAGAGGGAGAGUUGAGAACAAAAGAAAAAAGAAAAAGAGAAAAAAUCUAGAAGAAAGACUAGGAGAAAUAGAAGCAGUAAAGGGAAAAAGGGAAAAAUAGAAAGGGGAAUGAAAUGAUUUGGCGAGUUUGAGUUCGGGGUCUUUUUCGAGUUUUCUGGUUCGACGUAAGGAUUUUUGUUUGAUUUAGUUCGUCAUACAGUUUCAGCCAAUGCGGCGGCGCCAUCUGCUACAUCCAGAUCUAAUUUAGGACCACAACAGCCUUCAGAAGAUAAUUGUGAGAUUAUGGUUUUUAAUGAAGGUAGCGAAAGGGGAAAAUUAAAUAUUAAUGGGGAGAACGAUUGCGCGAUUUGUCUAUCGGAGUUUAUAAAGGGUGAAAAUUACAGUGUUCUUCCGGUUUGUCGACAUAAAUUUCAUGCAGAUUGCAUUAUGAUUUGGUUAUUAGUAAGUAACAGUAAUAAAACUUGUCCCAUUUGCAGGACUCAUGUAACUACUGUAACCUCACCAAUAAAGUGAAAGUUCAGAUAGUCAA